AUGGAGUUAAAAACCAAGAUGUUGUUCGUAUUCAGACUCCGUAAAAUAAUAGGAUGGGGUGAUCCAAGUAGGAUCGCAACCCUGGACUUCAGGAGAGCAAACUUUGGCCUCUUCAGGGACCUACUUGGAGGAAUCCCAUGGGUGAGGGCCCUAGAAGGAAGGAGUGUUCAAGAGAGCUGGUUAAUAUUCAAACAUCACUUCCUCCAGGCUCAAGAGCGGUGCAUCCCUAUGAGUAGGAAGUCAAGCAAAGGAGGCAGGAGACCUGCAUGGAUGAGCAAGGAGCUCCUGGCAAAACUCAACCAGAAGAAGGAAGUCUACAGAAAGUGGAAAGGGGGACAGGCCACUUGGGAGGAAUAUAGGAACACUGUCAGAGUAUGCAGGGAUGCGACGAGGAAGGCUAAGGCCCGUUUGGAAUUAAAUCUGGCGAGAGAUGUCAAGGACAGCAAGAAGGGCUUCUUCAAAUACAUCAGCAGCAAGAGGAAGACUAGGGAAAAUGUGGGCCCUUUGCUGAAUGGGGUGGGUGCCCUGGUGACGAAGGAUGCAGAGAAGGCAGAGUUACUGAAUGCCUUCUUUGCUUCAGUCUUUACUGCUCAGGCCAGCCCUCAGGAACCCCAGAUCCUGGAGGCAAGAGAGAAAGUCUGGAGAGAGGAAGACAUUCCCUUGGUGGAGGAGGAGUGGGUUAGAGAUCAUUUAAGCAAACUUGACACCCACAAAUCCAUGGGCCCUGAUGGGAUGCACCCACGAGUGCUGAGGGAGCUGGCAGACAUUAUUGCUAAGCCACUCUCCAUCAUCUUUGAAAGGUCAUGGAGGACAGGAGAGGUGCCUGAGGACUGGAAGAAAGCCAAUGUCACCCCAGUCUUCAAAAAGGGCAAGAAGGAGGACCCAGGGAACUACAGGCCAGUCAGCCUCACCUCCAUCCCUGGAAAGGUGAUGGAGCAGCUCAUCCUGGAAGCCAUCUCCAAGCAUGUGGAGGAAAAGAAGGUGGUCAAGAGUAGUCAGCAUGGCUUCACCAAGGGGAAAUCAUGCCUAACCAAUCUGAUAGCCUUCUAUGAUGGAAUGACUGGCUGGGUAGAUGAGGGGAGAGCAGUGGAUGUUGUCUACCUAGACUUCAGCAAGGCUUUUGACACUGUCUCCCAUAGCAUCCUCAUAGACAAGCACAGGAAGUGUGGGUUAGAUGAGUGGACAGUGAGGUGGAUUGAGAACUGGCUGAAUGGCAGAGCUCAGAGGGUUGUGUUCAGUGGCACAGAGUCUAGUUGGAGGCCUGAAGCUAGCGGUGUCCCCAGGGGUCGGUACUGGGUCCAGUCUUGUUCAACUUCUUCAUCAAUGACCUGGAUGAAGGGACAGAGAGCACCCUCAGCAAGUUUGCUGAUGAUACAAAACUGGGAGGAGUGGCCGAUACGCCAGAGGGCUGUGCUGCCAUUCAGAGAGACCUGGACAGGCUGGAGAGGUGGGCGGAGAGGAACCUCCUGA
Apteryx haastii (Great spotted kiwi) is the source of this 1470-nucleotide long non-coding RNA. The record is from Ensembl. Lineage: Eukaryota; Metazoa; Chordata; Aves; Apterygiformes; Apterygidae.